GAAUUCGCCCUUAGAGUUUGAUCCUGGCUCAGAUUGAACGCUGGCGGCAGGCCUAACACAUGCAAGUCGAGCGGUAGAGAGAAGCUUGCUUCUCUUGAGAGCGGCGGACGGGUGAGUAAUGCCUAGGAAUCUGCCUGGUAGUGGGGGAUAACGUUCGGAAACGGACGCUAAUACCGCAUACGUCCUACGGGAGAAAGCAGGGGACCUUCGGGCCUUGCGCUAUCAGAUGAGCCUAGGUCGGAUUAGCUAGUUGGUGAGGUAAUGGCUCACCAAGGCGACGAUCCGUAACUGGUCUGAGAGGAUGAUCAGUCACACUGGAACUGAGACACGGUCCAGACUCCUACGGGAGGCAGCAGUGGGGAAUAUUGGACAAUGGGCGAAAGCCUGAUCCAGCCAUGCCGCGUGUGUGAAGAAGGUCUUCGGAUUGUAAAGCACUUUAAGUUGGGAGGAAGGGCAGUUGCCUAAUACGUAACUGUUUUGACGUUACCGACAGAAUAAGCACCGGCUAACUCUGUGCCAGCAGCCGCGGUAAUACAGAGGGUGCAAGCGUUAAUCGGAAUUACUGGGCGUAAAGCGCGCGUAGGUGGUUUGUUAAGUUGGAUGUGAAAUCCCCGGGCUCAACCUGGGAACUGCAUUCAAAACUGACUGACUAGAGUAUGGUAGAGGGUGGUGGAAUUUCCUGUGUAGCGGUGAAAUGCGUAGAUAUAGGAAGGAACACCAGUGGCGAAGGCGACCACCUGGACUGAUACUGACACUGAGGUGCGAAAGCGUGGGGAGCAAACAGGAUUAGAUACCCUGGUAGUCCACGCCGUAAACGAUGUCAACUAGCCGUUGGAAGCCUUGAGCUUUUAGUGGCGCAGCUAACGCAUUAAGUUGACCGCCUGGGGAGUACGGCCGCAAGGUUAAAACUCAAAUGAAUUGACGGGGGCAAGGGCGAAUUC
This 941-nucleotide ribosomal RNA is filed under the name uncultured bacterium. RNAcentral describes it as "bacterial SSU rRNA". It matches the Rfam family "Bacterial small subunit ribosomal RNA", at positions 1 to 932 of the family's 1533-position model. The record is from RNAcentral.